UAGGGAAUCUUCCGCAAUGGGCGAAAGCCUGACGGAGCAACGCCGCGUGAGUGAUGAAGGUCUUCGGAUCGUAAAACUCUGUUAUUAGGGAAGAACAAAUGUGUAAGUAACUAUGCACGUCUUGACGGUACCUAAUCAGAAAGCCACGGCUAACUACGUGCCAGCAGCCGCGGUAAUACGUAGGUGGCAAGCGUUAUCCGGAAUUAUUGGGCGUAAAGCGCGCGUAGGCGGUUUUUUAAGUCUGAUGUGAAAGCCCACGGCUCAACCGUGGAGGGUCAUUGGAAACUGGAAAACUUGAGUGCAGAAGAGGAAAGUGGAAUUCCAGGUGUAGCGGUGAAAUGCGCAGGGAUAUGGAGGAACACCAGUGGCGAAGGCGACUUUCUGGUCUGUAACUGACGCUGAUGUGCGAAAGCGUGGAGAUCAAACAGG
This 429-nucleotide ribosomal RNA is filed under the name Actinomycetes bacterium. RNAcentral describes it as "Actinobacteria bacterium partial 16S ribosomal RNA". It matches the Rfam family "Bacterial small subunit ribosomal RNA", at positions 355 to 776 of the family's 1533-position model. The record is from RNAcentral. Lineage: Bacteria; Bacillati; Actinomycetota; Actinomycetes.